CGGGGUGUAGCGCAGUUGGUAGCGUGCCUGCUUCGGGAGCAGGAUGUCGCAGGUUCAAGUCCUGUCACUCCGACCA
This is a transfer RNA of 76 nucleotides. It matches the Rfam family "tRNA". From Rfam's summary of the family: Transfer RNA (tRNA) molecules are approximately 80 nucleotides in length. Their secondary structure includes four short double-helical elements and three loops (D, anti-codon, and T loops).